GUCUGGGUGGCUCAGUUGGUUAAGCGUCUGACUUCAGCUCAGGUCAUGAUCUCACAGUCCGUGGGUUCAAGCUCCAUAUCAGGCU
Non-coding RNA from Felis catus (domestic cat), 85 nucleotides. Lineage: Eukaryota; Metazoa; Chordata; Mammalia; Carnivora; Felidae. The record is from Rfam.